RNAcentral lists this long non-coding RNA (599 nucleotides) under Helianthus annuus (common sunflower). Lineage: Eukaryota; Viridiplantae; Streptophyta; Magnoliopsida; Asterales; Asteraceae. The record is from RNAcentral.
UGACUGGUUUGCGGCUCCCGCUCCCAGGGUGGGGUCGGGGGCUGUGACAAAAAGGUCUUUUCUUUAAACCUCUGUCGACUAGUUCCAAACAUCUGUAGAUGUUUGGUCUUCAUCAUCAAUGCUUUGUCUUCAAUAGGGCUUUGGUCUUUGAACAGAUGUUCUUUCCUCCUCAACAGUGCUUUCCAGUUUUCAACAGUGCUUUGUGAUCUUCGAAUGGAUAAUCUGUUUAACAAAAAUUGUAGUGGUAGUGGUAGUGGUAAGUAGUGGUAGUAGUGGUAGUAAGUGGUAGUAAGUGGUAGUGGUAGUAGUAGUGGUCGUGGUAGCAGUAGUCGUGGUAGCAGUGGUCGUGGUCGUAGUGGUCGUGGUAGUAGCGGUAGUAGCGGUAGUAGCCACAGAAGCGGCAGAAGCCGCAGAAGCAGCAGCAGCAGCAGUAGUAGUAGUAUAAUUGUAUCGAAAAAAAGUUAAAUUGGUUAACGGGUCAAUCCGAACACGGCCUAAUUUUUAACGGGUCAAUCCAAAUACAAUCCGCUUUUCAAUACGGGUCAUUUUAGUCGACCCAAAACCUUUAUAUUUUCCUGUGGUGUUAAAAAUUGUUGGCU